Non-coding RNA from Ceratotherium simum simum (southern white rhinoceros), 1429 nucleotides. The record is from RefSeq and is a predicted model, not a curated record. Lineage: Eukaryota; Metazoa; Chordata; Mammalia; Perissodactyla; Rhinocerotidae.
AUGAUGGACCAAAGGAAAGGAGCUGAGUGUUUUCCCAGCCCGCUCAUGGGAGUGUCCUGACUGUCACCACUCCUAGGGCGCCUGCUGGCUGUGGACAGACGGGCCAGGGUCGGGGUGGGGUGGGGGGCAGUGUUGAUACCUCUGAGAAUUUGGCAACCUGGGUGGGGCUUCUGAAUAUAUUUCCAAAACCCAUCAAUGUCACACAUAUCUGUGCCUUUUCAUAUUACUUAUGUUAUUUAUGUAUUUAUUUAUUUAUGCCCUAUCUUGUUCCAGAAAAGUGUUUAAGGCUGCCGUGCUUGGUUUUUAACGUUCUCUUUUGACAUCUGAUAAGUUUUAGUCAGCAUGCACUUAUUAAACAGGUAAUUUUAAAGAGAAAGAAUUAGCAAUUUCCUAAUGUUGAAUAUGUUUCUGUUAUCAGGCUUAAGGGCCAUCGUUUUAAGUUUUCUUUUUCCUUCUUCCAUGAAUUGUUUCUUCAAAUAAAAAGUUCAUGCAGAAGUAGGAGGAGGGGAGCAUUCAGCAAACAUAGGACUGAGCAGAGGGAAAUCUGCCUUAGAGAGGAGCGCUCUGUCUGUGCUCUGCUGCCUGCUGCCGCGUGGCUUUGGGCAGGUCCUGUUCAGAGUGCCGGGUGGGCGGCUUCCGGCUGUGCCUUCACCACAGGGCUUUUGUGAGGACACAGGAGAGAAUGUACGUGAAAGCACUUUCUACUUGAGUCAUCCUUGUGACAUGUAAACUGCUGUCGUUGACUGUUGUCCCUCUUCUCAGUGGAUAUGCAUUUGAGGCGAUGACCUUGCUGGAAGAGCCUGUGACCUUGGAGAUCAGGCUUGACCUGGUUGCCCCAUGGGGCAGCAAAAGUCAUAGGGACCCACACCACAGGGCUUGCGCACAAAGGGCUCUGCAGGUCAGAAGUGUAAGACACAUGUUAAAUAAUUUAUGAAGUCAAGUUUGUUCAGCUUAAGGGGUUGUCUUUUAUUCUGAGAUUAUGUCCUUCCUAAUUUGGGUCAUAAGAUGUCUGUUUAGGUAUAAGAAAGGUUAACAGAGGGCAAAUUUUUCCUUUUUAAAAUGUUCUUGGUUGCAAAACAAAAUGUUGGCUACCCUUUUUCAAGCCCCAGAAUUUCUCUUUAAGUUUGCCAGGCUCUGAAAUCCCAAAGAUGGAGACCCACUCUCUAGCUAUGGUGUAUGUUUACGUCGUGAGAAAUUCCUCUUGGAUUCUUAAAACCGCCGGUACGGUGUUGAAGGGAGUCGCAGCUUCUGCUGUCUGGUAGUCUGAGCACAAGCUCUGAGGUCACUGUGCGGUGUUAGGAAGCGCGGGCUUGUGUCCUGGAGAUGACCCAGCAAACAUCCCUGCGGUGACAGGCCUCUGGCCACUCCUGAAUCUGUGAGAGACACUCCCAGCAAGUUUGCGUGCCCUUCUCAGCUGGAUACCUGCAGA